CUUCUUCACUGUGAAGCAAACACAAGCUUUGGACAGAAGAGGAGAACACACAAAACAACAUCUCGAUGCAAAGCUCUCUCGAAUAAGCGGGAGAGUCACCGGAAGAUUGUCGGAGAUUUGUCCAGCAGGUGACAUCUCCAUCUCCAUAUCAGCUUCUGCUCCAACAACAUGAUUCGUCUCCAUCUGUACGAUAAUCAUAGUGAGCCAGGUGUCUCGGCUAUUCCAAGGCUGGACCUAACAUUCAGUAUAAGGCGUGAACAAACCCUAACAAAGUAUGCAGCAAGUGAGAGAAUCCGCAUAUCAUCUUGACCAACAUGGCCAAACCACUACAACCACUUGGUUAGUAUAUAGGAGGGUUGUAGUAAACACUACACCGGGUUUAAUUUUGACAAUGUAGAAUCAUAUUGAUAUUUCUUAUAUGAAGACAAGUUUUCUGGAGUUUUACAUUUCCUAGAGGCAACAAAGAAACAAGGUUGAGUUAUUGGCAAUAUUCAUGACAAAAAGACCCAAGAUACAAAGGUUGUGUGAUUUGUCAAUUUGCACAACAAAAAUUACAAGGUUGUGGAUUCAUGUUGAGGACACAGUCUUGUAUAUAGGCACACAUCCAUUAAAAGAUUAAGAGCGAUAGUUGAUAAACAAUAACAUAAAUAUAUAUGUAGCACAGCUAUGUGAGGUAACUACUAGGGUAGGAAACUAUUAACCUUUGGAUAAUUAAUCUUCAAGUAAGAAAAUCCAUAAAAAGGAGAGAAAUCAUUAUAAAAAACAUGUAUAUUAAUCCAUAAAAAGAUUAAUAUUUUAGUCAUAGUUUUACAAGUAAUGUGACAUACAUUUGAACCAAAAUUAUUAUUGAUCUAUGGUACUAAUUUUAUUUAUAAAUCUCCCGGGAAUGUAUAUGUAUGCAAAUCCAAGAGAGCAAUGAGUUUUAGUCUAAAAAUAGUCCAGUUAAUGUACAUUAUGUGCGGCACAAAGUGUUAAAGAUGCACACAACAAUUGCAAUUAAUCGCAAUCGAUACCAGAUCACAUAGCUUAAGUAGCAUAUGUGCGGUAAGGACUAAUUGCGAGGCUAAGUUUUUUAAAGCUACCAAUAUUCACAAGUACUAUAUAUAAUCAAUUAGAAACACUAAUUUGGAUAAUCAUCAAGUGAUAGGUCCAUGACAAAGAGAGAAACCCAUAGAAGAUCAACAAUCAGUAACUGCACAAUGUGGUAUGCAUUAUUCAGCAUUUAACCCCAUUGAAAUUCUAUGGAUCUCUCGGAUUUGCAUAGAUCUCCCGAAGGUACAUUGCACUGGAUACAAAUCCAAAGAGAUCUAAUGAAUUUUAAUCACUUAGAAAAAAGAGAGAUCCAGCAAUUCUGACAUAAAAACUAAUCAGAAACAUAGGGAAUUAAUCCCUAAAGCCAAGUAGCAAUCAAAGACGGCUUGAAACUUCACUAGACAACAUCGAGUACGCAGCAGAACGUGUCAAGCAAAUCUCAAAUGACAUGCAAAAAAUUUCCAAAUAAAAUAAAAUCCAUGCAGAAAAAAAUUUAAGGAAAAAGAGAGAGAGAUAGAGAGAGAAAAGAAGAGAAAAAAGUAAGAAGCUUAAGCUCAACACGACAUUGUUCUUCCAUAGAUUUAGUUAUCUCAUGUAUCUCACAUGGUCAUAGAAAAAACACUAACAAAGACCGAACCGAGUAAAACAACAAGAGAUUCGCCGGAAAAAUCAAACUAUACAUUAAUUGUUUUUUAUUUUUUAUUUUGUUUGUGUCUUUUUAAAAUAUUUAUUUUUCUUCAAAAACAAAGUAAAGAGAAAGCACAAAACCGAAGCUUAAAGGGGAAAAAAAAACGAGAACCCAGAUAAGGAAAA
Non-coding RNA from Camelina sativa (false flax), 1845 nucleotides. The record is from RefSeq and is a predicted model, not a curated record. Lineage: Eukaryota; Viridiplantae; Streptophyta; Magnoliopsida; Brassicales; Brassicaceae.